Molecule: ribosomal RNA, 468 nt
Filed under: uncultured bacterium
Lineage: Bacteria
Description: partial 16S ribosomal RNA
Rfam family: Bacterial small subunit ribosomal RNA
Source: RNAcentral
GACGAACGCUGGCGGCGUGCUUAACACAUGCAAGUCGAACGGAAAGGCCCUGCUUUUGUGGGGUGCUCGAUUGGCGAACGGGUGAGUAACACGUGAGUAACCUGCCCUUGACUUUGGGAUAACUUCAGGAAACUGGGGCUAAUACCGGAUAGGAGCUCCUGCUGCAUGGUGGGGGUUGGAAAGUUUCGGCGGUUGGGGAUGGACUCGCGGCUUAUCAGCUUGUUGGUGGGGUAGUGGCUUACCAAGGCUUUGACGGGUAGCCGGCCUGAGAGGGUGACCGGCCACAUUGGGACUGAGAUACGGCGCAGACUCCUACGGGAGGCAGCAGUGGAGAAUAUUGCACAAUGGGCGGAAGCCUGAUGCAGCAACGCCGCGUGCGGGAUGACGGCCUUCGGGUUGUAAACCGCUUUCGCCUGUGACGAAGCGUGAGUGACGGUAAUGGGUAAAGAAGCACCGGCUAACUACGUG